AUGGCGGCGAGCCUGUGGCGAGCGGUGAUGGGCACCGGCGCCCCGCCCGCGGACGCCACGGACGGCGUCGAGUUCUGGCGCGAGCCGGAGCGCGGCGGGUGGCUGGACAAGCAGGGCGAGUACAUCAAGACGUGGCGGCGGCGGUGGUUCGUGCUCAAGCAGGGGAAGCUCUUCUGGUUCAAGGACUCGACCGUCACGCGCGCCUCCGUGCCCCGCGGCGUCAUCGCCGUCGCCUCCUGCCUCACCGUCAAGGGCGCCGAGGACGUGCUCAACCGCAAGUUCGCCUUCGAGCUCUCCACCCCGGGCGAGACCAUGUACUUCGUCGCCGACUCCGACAAGGAGAAGGAGGACUGGAUCAACUCCAUCGGCCGCUCCAUUGUCCAGCACUCCCGGUCCAUGACCGACGACGAGAUCGUCGACUACGACAGCGGCCGCCCCGCGGCCGGCGGCAAAUCAUAG
This 459-nucleotide ribosomal RNA is filed under the name Triticum aestivum (bread wheat). RNAcentral describes it as "partial small subunit ribosomal RNA". The record is from RNAcentral. Lineage: Eukaryota; Viridiplantae; Streptophyta; Magnoliopsida; Poales; Poaceae.